Neofelis nebulosa (Clouded leopard) is the source of this 429-nucleotide long non-coding RNA. RefSeq lists it as uncharacterized. The transcript has 3 exons. Lineage: Eukaryota; Metazoa; Chordata; Mammalia; Carnivora; Felidae. The record is from RefSeq and is a predicted model, not a curated record.
CCCCCCCUCCCACCCCCCAGCGCCCCUGCUCGGUGGCGCUGAGAAGGCGGCCCCCGGAUUUCCUGCUACUAGCGUUUGAGUUCCAGCCCGCUCUCAGAAGCUGCGGCAACUCAGACCUAAGGAGGCCAAGGAAGCCCUCAGAGAAUGGCUCUUGAAGGAACUGAAUCAUAUUGCCCAUGCACCAUGAAGACAAUUGGCACCACCUUGUGAGGUUUCUAAACCCUGAUCUCCACCCAGAACCUCUCUCCUGAUGCUACCAGAUCCACCAACUAUGAAGUCCUCAAGAUAUCAGAAAUUCUACAGGUUCCAGUCUCAACUCGGUGUCUCAUUCUUUCCAUUUAACAUGCUUUCCAGAACAGAUGACCAGCAUAAUAACCUUGAAGCAUCUUCUUCAACUCCCUUUUACCAAUCCCACAUACCUGGUUGAAU